CAAUUCUCCUGCCUCAGCCUCUUGAGUAGCUGGGAUUACAGGUGCUCACCACCUGUAACUGUAAAAGGUCAGUUUUAAUGAGUUUAAUCAACCAUACCUGGUUGGUUUUUGUAUUUGUAAAACCAAUUUUUAAGUGACUAAUUUUACAUUUAUGUGCUCAGAUAAGGCCAUGUCUAUAAGGCACAUACAUAUAUGUGGAGCUUGAUAUCAGUGAACCAUUAGAAAAUCAUUUUCCCCCUUAACAUUUCAUAACAAGAUGAUUUCAUUCUCAAUGGGAAGGGAAGAUUGGGUAGGAGAUCAGGAAUGCUAAGGUUUCAAUACAGCCCAGUAAUUUUUGGGGGAAUGGAGGCUGGUAAGUUUUGAAAUUAUUUUACCUUGUAAAUGCGAACUAGUUGAAGCUCAGUCAUUGUGUGUAUUUUUUGGAAUGAUACAAAUACUGGGUAUGAAACAAGUAGACUGUAAUAAGUUAGCGUUUUUUUUUUUCUGGGUGUGUGCAUGCAAGUCUGCUUUCUUUUCUUUUUUUGCCUGCUGACAUGGCUGACAGGGAACAAACAUUGAAAUUACUGCUUUAAUUUGGCCAAAAUGAGCUUGUUCGCUGUGAAUAUCAUGCUGGCCUUAAUCAGUCCAAAGGACUUCCUUCCUGCUUUCAGGGAGACUGCAUAUUAACAUAGCCUCCUUUCUGUCUUCAAAUCAGGCCCUGAUAACAGCUGGAAAUAGGCACAGCAUUAAAGAGGAAAUAAGGAAGGGCCCAUUAUCGACAAUAUGUGGAAGAGAUUUUUAGUAAGUUUCAUUUUGAUGUUAGAAUGACACAAAGAUGGCUAUGAAAGCCUGUAGGCAUUUUUUCAGUAGUACUCUGCAUUUAUGAUCUCAAUUUAGGUGAGUUCUCUUCUAGAAGGUUUGAAGAGCAUAUACCUGUUCACUGAGAUAGCACUUGUUUUUUGAAAGACUGUGGUUUUUAGUUCUUUUGGCUCCUCUGAAACUCAUUUGACAUCUCUGAGAGUUUCCUCGUCUCUAAAAUAGGGAUGAUCUCAACAUUCCCUUGCUUAAUAGCAUAGGAAAAAGAUAGCAUCUCUUAGUACAAAAUCUCUUAGCUCACAAAUUUUUUGAAGAUAUAUGUACAUUUGUAAUAUACAUUUAUUCUCCAGGUGCAGUGGCAGGCACCCCAGCUACUCAGGAGGCUGAGGCAGGAGGAUAGCUUGAGCCCAGGA
Long non-coding RNA from Sapajus apella (tufted capuchin), 1208 nucleotides. RefSeq lists it as uncharacterized. NCBI's taxonomy places the organism in Eukaryota, Metazoa, Chordata, Mammalia, Primates, Cebidae. The transcript has 3 exons. The record is from RefSeq and is a predicted model, not a curated record.